GGAGAGAUGGCUGAGAGGACCAAAGCGACGGAUUGCUAAUCCGUUGUACGGGUAAUCCCGUACCGAGGGUUCGAAUCCCUCUCUCUCCG
RNAcentral lists this transfer RNA (89 nucleotides) under Welwitschia mirabilis. RNAcentral describes it as "tRNA-Ser". It matches the Rfam family "tRNA". Rfam says of the family: Transfer RNA (tRNA) molecules are approximately 80 nucleotides in length. Their secondary structure includes four short double-helical elements and three loops (D, anti-codon, and T loops). Further hydrogen bonds mediate the characteristic L-shaped molecular structure. tRNAs have two regions of fundamental functional importance: the anti-codon, which is responsible for specific mRNA codon recognition, and the 3' end, to which the tRNAs corresponding amino acid is attached (by aminoacyl-tRNA synthetases). tRNAs cope with the degeneracy of the genetic code in two manners: having more than one tRNA (with a specific anti-codon) for a particular amino acid; and 'wobble' base-pairing, i.e. permitting non-standard base-pairing at the 3rd anti-codon position. The record is from RNAcentral. Lineage: Eukaryota; Viridiplantae; Streptophyta; Gnetopsida; Welwitschiales; Welwitschiaceae.